RNAcentral lists this ribosomal RNA (2894 nucleotides) under Stenotrophomonas maltophilia. Its description in RNAcentral is "23S ribosomal RNA". It matches the Rfam family "Bacterial large subunit ribosomal RNA". The record is from RNAcentral. Lineage: Bacteria; Pseudomonadati; Pseudomonadota; Gammaproteobacteria; Lysobacterales; Lysobacteraceae.
GUUAUAUGGUCAAGCGAAUAAGCGCACACGGUGGAUGCCUUGGCGGUCAGAGGCGAUGAAGGACGUGGCAGCCUGCGAAAAGUAUCGGGGAGCUGGCAACAAGCUUUGAUCCGGUAAUGUCCGAAUGGGGAAACCCACCCGCUUGCGGGUAUCCUGCAGUGAAUACAUAGCUGCUGGAAGCGAACCUGGUGAACUGAAAUAUCUAAGUAACCAGAGGAAAAGAAAUCAACCGAGAUUCCGUAAGUAGCGACGAGCGAACGCGGACUAGCCCUUAAGCUGAUUUGGUUCUAGGAAAACGCUCUGGAAAGAGCGGCCAUAGAAGGUGAUAGCCCUGUAUCUGAAAGGGCCAUUUCAGUGAAGACGAGUAGGGCGGGGCACGUGAAACCCUGUCUGAACAUGGGGGGACCAUCCUCCAAGGCUAAAUACUACUGACCGACCGAUAGUGAACCAGUACCGUGAGGGAAAGGCGAAAAGAACCCCGGAGAGGGGAGUGAAAUAGAACCUGAAACCGUGUGCGUACAAGCAGUAGGAGCUCCGCAAGGAGUGACUGCGUACCUUUUGUAUAAUGGGUCAGCGACUUACUGUUCGUGGCAAGCUUAACCGUAUAGGGGAGGCGAAGGGAAACCGAGUCUGAUAAGGGCGCAUAGUCGCGGGCAGUAGACCCGAAACCGGGUGAUCUAGUCAUGCCCAGGGUGAAGGUGCGGUAACACGCACUGGAGGCCCGAACCCACUCCCGUUGCAAAGGUAGGGGAUGAGGUGUGAUUAGGAGUGAAAAGCUAAUCGAACCCGGAGAUAGCUGGUUCUCCUCGAAAGCUAUUUAGGUAGCGCCUCAUAUGUAUCCUCUCGGGGGUAGAGCACUGUUAUGGCUAGGGGGUCAUCGCGACUUACCAAACCAUUGCAAACUCCGAAUACCGAGACGGACUGUAUGGGAGACACACGGCGGGUGCUAACGUCCGUCGUGAAAAGGGAAACAACCCAGACCCACAGCUAAGGUCCCAAAUUUUGUGCUAAGUGGAAAACCAUGUGGAAAGGCACAGACAGCCAGGAGGUUGGCUUAGAAGCAGCCACCCUUUAAAGAAAGCGUAAUAGCUCACUGGUCGAGUCGGUCUGCGGGGAAGAUUUAACGGGGCUAAGCACAGAACCGAAGCUUGGGGUGCAUAACUUUGUUAUGCGCGGUAGAGGAGCGUUCCGUAAGCCGUUGAAGGUGGAUUGAGAAGUCUGCUGGAGGUAUCGGAAGUGCGAAUGCUGACAUGAGUAACGAUAAUGCGGGUGAAAAACCCGCACGCCGAAAGCCCAAGGUUUCCUUGCGCAACGUUAAUCGGCGCAGGGUGAGUCGGCCCCUAAGGCGAGGACGAAAGUCGUAGUCGAUGGGAAGCAGGUUAAUAUUCCUGCACCUCGCGUAAGUGCGAUGGAGGGACGGAGAAGGUUAGGUGUACCAGGCGUUGGUUGUCCUGGGGAAAGGCGGUAGGUUUGGAUCUUUGGCAAAUCCGGGAUCCUUUAAGACCGAGCACCGAGACGAGCCUUUAAGGCGAAGUCACUGAUACCACGCUUCCAGGAAAAGCUCCUAAGCUUCAGCUUACGCAGACCGUACCGUAAACCGACACAGGUGGGUAGGAUGAGAAUUCUCAGGCGCUUGAGAGAACUCGGGUGAAGGAACUAGGCAACAUGGCACCGUAACUUCGGGAGAAGGUGCACCCUUUUUGGUGGCUCAUGCGAGCUAUAGCUGAAGAGGGUCGCAGUAACCAGGCCGCUGCGACUGUUUAUCAAAAACACAGCACUCUGCAAACACGAAAGUGGACGUAUAGGGUGUGACGCCUGCCCGGUGCUGGAAGGUUAAUUGAUGGGGUCAGCCGCAAGGCGAAGCUCUUGAUCGAAGCCCCAGUAAACGGCGGCCGUAACUAUAACGGUCCUAAGGUAGCGAAAUUCCUUGUCGGGUAAGUUCCGACCUGCACGAAUGGCGUAACGACAGCGGCGCUGUCUCCACCCGAGACUCAGUGAAAUUGAAAUCGCUGUGAAGAUGCAGCGUUCCCGUGGCAAGACGGAGAGACCCCGUGAACCUUUACUAUAGCUUUACACUGAACGUUGAGUUCGUCUGUGUAGGAUAGGUGGGAGGCUAUGAAACCAUGGCGCUAGCUGUGGCGGAGCCAUCCUUGAAAUACCACCCUGUCGUGCUUGACGUUCUAACCUGGGCCCAUUAUCUGGGUCGGGGACCGUGUAUGGUGGGUAGUUUGACUGGGGCGGUCUCCUCCUAAAGAGUAACGGAGGAGCUCGAAGGUACGCUCAGCGCGGUCGGACAUCGCGCACUGUGUGCAAAGGCAUAAGCGUGCUUGACUGCAAGAUCGACGGAUCAAGCAGGUAGGAAACUAGGACUUAGUGAUCCGGUGGUUCUGUAUGGAAGGGCCAUCGCUCAACGGAUAAAAGGUACUCCGGGGAUAACAGGCUGAUACCGCCCAAGAGUUCAUAUCGACGGCGGUGUUUGGCACCUCGAUGUCGGCUCAUCACAUCCUGGGGCUGUAGUCGGUCCCAAGGGUAUGGCUGUUCGCCAUUUAAAGUGGUACGCGAGCUGGGUUCAGAACGUCGUGAGACAGUUCGGUCCCUAUCUGCCAUGGGCGUUGGAGAUUUGAGAGGGGCUGCUCCUAGUACGAGAGGACCGGAGUGGACGAACCUCUGGUGUUCCGGUUGUCACGCCAGUGGCAUUGCCGGGUAGCUAUGUUCGGAAGCGAUAACCGCUGAAAGCAUCUAAGCGGGAAGCGCGCCUCAAGAUGAGAUCUCCCGGGGCACAAGCCCCCUGAAGGAACCAUGUAGACUACGUGGUUGAUAGGUCAGGUGUGUAAGUACAGCAAUGUAUUGAGCUAACUGAUACUAAUGAUCCGUGCGGCUUGACCAUAUAACCU